GACGAACGCUGGCGGCGUGCUUAACACAUGCAAGUCGAACGGAAAGGCCCUGCUUGCAGGGUACUCGAGUGGCGAACGGGUGAGUAACACGUGGGUGAUCUGCCCUGCACUUCGGGAUAAGCCUGGGAAACUGGGUCUAAUCCCGGAUAGGAGCCAGUUUUAGUGUGAUGGUUGGAAAGUUUUUUCGGUGUAGGAUGAGCUCGCGGCCUAUCAGCUUGUUGGUGGGGUAAUGGCCUACCAAGGCGGCGACGGGUAGCCGGCCUGAGAGGGUGGACGGCCACAUUGGGCCUGCGUUCGGUCCAGACUCCUCCGGGCGGCAGCAGUGGGGAUUAUUGCACAAUGGGCGCAAGCCUGAUGCAGCGACGCCACGUGGGUGAUGACGGCCUUCGGCUUGUAAACUCCUUUCGCUAGGGACGAAGCUUUUUGUGACGGUACCUAGAUAAGAAGCACCGGCUAACUACGUG
Molecule: ribosomal RNA, 464 nt
Filed under: uncultured bacterium
Lineage: Bacteria
Description: partial 16S ribosomal RNA
Rfam family: Bacterial small subunit ribosomal RNA
Source: RNAcentral